UUUCAUGGAGAGUUUGAUCCUGGCUCAGGACGAACGCUGGCGGCGUGCCUAAUACAUGCAAGUCGAGCGGACAGAUGGGAGCUUGCUCCCUGAUGUUAGCGGCGGACGGGUGAGUAACACGUGGGUAACCUGCCUGUAAGACUGGGAUAACUCCGGGAAACCGGGGCUAAUACCGGAUGCUUGAUUGAACCGCAUGGUUCAAUUAUAAAAGGUGGCUUUUAGCUACCACUUACAGAUGGACCCGCGGCGCAUUAGCUAGUUGGUGAGGUAACGGCUCACCAAGGCAACGAUGCGUAGCCGACCUGAGAGGGUGAUCGGCCACACUGGGAC
RNAcentral lists this ribosomal RNA (330 nucleotides) under Bacillus paralicheniformis. RNAcentral's name for it is "bacterial SSU rRNA". It matches the Rfam family "Bacterial small subunit ribosomal RNA", at positions 1 to 319 of the family's 1533-position model. Lineage: Bacteria; Bacillati; Bacillota; Bacilli; Caryophanales; Bacillaceae. The record is from RNAcentral.